AAAAGUCUGCCAGAGUUGGCAAGAGUUGCUGCUGAUGGUGUUGUCAUCUUUUCUGGUUAUCCAGGUCAGCAAAGAGCUAAAGACGGAGAAGUGGCAAAAUUUGGCCGUCCAGCCAAAUACGAAGCUCGUCUUGGCGG
This is a long non-coding RNA of Neltuma alba, 137 nucleotides long. RefSeq lists it as uncharacterized. NCBI's taxonomy places the organism in Eukaryota, Viridiplantae, Streptophyta, Magnoliopsida, Fabales, Fabaceae. The transcript is spliced from 3 exons. The record is from RefSeq and is a predicted model, not a curated record.